This 12239-nucleotide long non-coding RNA is filed under the name Populus tremula. RNAcentral describes it as "long non-coding RNA (PTRE_LNC000418)". Lineage: Eukaryota; Viridiplantae; Streptophyta; Magnoliopsida; Malpighiales; Salicaceae. The record is from RNAcentral.
AGGGAAAGACUUUGUGGAUUUCCUCCUUAGCCUGCUUGCUUUGCCUCUGGGUACCGUCAUUCUGCUCCUCACAAAAUCAACAACGAUUGGCUGCAUAUCAAGUCUUUACGGGAGCUUUGAAAAGCUAGAUGAAUCGUACCUGCAGCCUAACCAAAACAAGGAUUCCAUUUUGAAACCAACUAUAACAACCCAGGUCACCGAUCCAAAUUUCUUGCUUCCUGACACUAAAAAGCCUGAAAACCGGAAGUUAUACUAUUGCUCAAGCCAUCCAGGGUACGUGUCAGAUAUUCAAAACUCUGUUUGCAGUUAUUGCAGAUCUGGUACUACUCGAUAUAUGAAUCAAGAAGUCAAGUUCGUUGGCACGAAUGUCUCCGCCUCCACAGAUACACCGGCUAGUGAUCAGGCCGGAGGUUACGUGAAGGGCCUGGUCACUUACAUGGUGACAGGUGAUUUGUCCGUCUCUCCAAUGUCAAUGGUGUCCGGUGUUGGUCUGCUAAACAAGUUCGGUAUCAAGGAUUUUAGUGUGCUUGAGGAGAAAGUUGUUGAACUUGGGAUCAACGAGGUACUGCUUGUUUUGAACUCUGUCUUGUAUUGUUCGUUGUAGUUUUUUCUUGUUGUCUAACGAUAGUUUAUACUACGUCUAUGCUGCUUUCUGUGUCCCUUGUUCUUUUAUAAUUUUCAGGGUCUUGAAUUGUUGAAAGCUUCUCUUUUGUCGAAGGAUGCUCUCACUGCUGUUUUCCUUCCAAAGCUGAAUUAAGGACAGAGAUGACGAGCCAGUAUCGAAAUAGAAAAAAAAGGAGUUGAUGCGCGUUCUUCAAUUUCUAAAUUUACUAUGUCUGUGAGGAAGUAAUGAGAAAAUAAGUUGGAGAACUUUAGUUUUGUUGUUGGACUGCAAUGAUGAUCAUUCAUCUUCCUUUUGAAUAUGCCUGACCUUUUCAUUUGUUUUUCUUUGUUGCUUUAUUAUGCUUGUCUUCUUUCAUUUAUCUUUCACUGUUGCUUUAUUUUGAAUUUUGUGAAAUGAGGAUGCGAUGGAAUGAAUAGUUUCCCCUCCUCAUCUACAUUUCUUUGUAUUAUACCAAAUCAAGAUUUUUAUAUUAUAAAUCAGAAAUGGUUAUCUUGACUUGUUUGCUUUGCCUCCAGCACAAAUUCCAACUUUCUUCUCCUUUCCUCUUCAAAUUUCUUGCUUCUCUUUCUCCGAGAAUUUGAUCUCUUGUUUUCCCCUAACGCCGAUAAAGUUUAUGUGUUUUUUCCUUCACCUAAGAUGAUUCAGUUUUUUUCGCAACCAUACCAAAUUCUGGCACAAACACUGUAGCUUUCUUUGAGCAUGCCAAGCAUCAAGUUUCAUAUUCCACUUGAUUGUGAAUAAAUUUGCCAUCGUCUUGAGCUCAAUUAGCUAUGAUCCUGCAGGUCUAUAAUUGCAAAAAUAAAAGCAUCCUUUUCUUUUCUCAUAAACUUAUGUUAGGACCGUCGAUUUUUGCCCGAGUUACCUAUGUCCACAAAAAGAAUAACAAAGCUUGAGAUGUUUUUAGGAGCUGCGUUUUUCAAAUGGUAUUUUAUAUAUAUAAAAAAUGUUUUAAAUUUUUUAUAUAUAAUUUUUGGUUGUUUUUAUAUAUAAUUUUUGUUCGUUUUUAUUUAUUGAUAUAAAAAAUAAUUUAUAUAAAAUAAAAAAUAUAUAUUGUCUGCUACAUAAAUAAUAUAUAUUUCUAGAGUCAUGACAGUAGCAAACAAGAUGAGAGCCCAUGGAGAAGAGAUGAGAGAUGUGAAAAUUAUAGAGAAAAUUCUUCGCACCCUCACAGAAAAAUUCAACUAUAUUGUCUACUGCAUAGAAGAGUUAAAAGACAUUGACAGAUUUAUGUGGAUGAACUUCAAAGCUCAUUAAUUGUGCAUUAGCAGAAGUUUCAGAAAAAUCACGAUAAAGAACAAGUCUUGAAAGUUACCUUGUAAGAAGGAAAAGGCAGAAGACGAGGCAGGAUUACUUAUAAGGGUAAUGGAAGAGGAAGCGGUAGCAGUAGCAACAAUUUAAUUUCCCUCCUUUAUGACUUCUCCUUCCUUACUAUUGGUAAGCAUAUUAUAAAUGGUUAGGUCAUGCACAAUGCUACUUACUUUACAAGUUAAUUUCCUUUUUCUCUAAAUUACUGUAAAAAAUAUCUAUUUUGGUACGUACACAGGAAAACCUUGCAAACCCAUGAAAAGUAAAUAGAAUAUGAAUGUUAAAAAAAAAAAUAGUCAGACUAAGAUAUAUUUUCUUGCUUAAAGAGAUAAAAAAUAAUUAAAUUGUUUUUAUAAUAAAUUAGAUUGUUUUGAAAAAAUAAAUGAAUGAAAUUAAAUAAUGCAAUAACAAAAAAUUAAAGAACGAAAAUAAACCAAUUAGUCUAUUUACAUAACAACAGUGUUGUGUCCGAAACCAUAAUUUAAAAACAUGUUCCUGCACCAAACUUAGCAUUGAAGUCUUCCUUUGGUGCAUGCAUAGCCUUGAAGUCUUCCAGGCGCUUCCAUUAAAUCCUCAUGCACUGAAGCGUCCUGAUAGAGUCUUUUCCUCUCUAUAUAUUGAUACCUUCGCUUUCAAGUCGUCAACAAAAACAAAACGAACUUGUUAGUGAUCAUCAGAGUAGCCAACAAUGGCAGCCUCCAAAAUGAGCUUGAAGCUUCUUAUUGAUUCAAAACACAACAGAGUCGUCUUUGCUGAAGCAGGGAAAGACUUUGUGGAUUUCCUCCUUAGCCUGCUUGCUUUGCCUGUGGGUACCAUCAUUCGGCUCCUCACAAAAUCAACCAUGAUUGGCUGCAUAGCAAAUCUUUACGGGAGCCUUGAAAAGCUGGAUGAAUCGUACAUGCAGCCUAACCAAAACAAGGAUUCCAUUUUGAAACCAACUGUAACAACCCAGGUCACCAAUCCAAGUUUCUUGCUUCCUGACACUAAAAUGCCUGAAAACCGGAAGUUAUACUAUUGCUCAAACCAUCCAGGGUACGUUUCGGAUAUUCAAAACUCUGUUUGUAGUCAUUGCAGGUCACAAGGCUAUACUCGUUAUAUGAAUCAAGAAGUCAAGUUUGUUGCUACGAAUGUCUCCGCCUCCACAUAUACACCAGCUAGCGAUCAGGCCGGAGGUUACGUGAAGGGCCUGGUCACCUACAUGGUGACAAAUGAUUUGUCAGUGUCUCCAAUGUCAAUGGUGUCCGUUGUUGGUCUGCUAAACAAGAUCGAAAUCAAGGAUUUUAGUGUGCUUGAGGAGAAGGUUGUUGAAUUUGGGAUCGAUGAGGUACAGUGUUUUUUUAAUUUUAUUCUGUCUUGGAUUGUUCAAUUUUAACACGGUAGUUUUUGUUGUUGUCUAACGAUAGUAUAUACUACGUCCAUGCUGCUUUUUUUGUCCCUUGUUCUUUUAUACAUUUCAGGGUCUUGAAUUGUUGAAAGCUUCUCUUUUGUCGAAGGAUGCUCUCUCUGCUGUUUUCCUUCCAAAGCUGAAUUAAGGACAGAGAUGGUGAGCCAGUAUAAUCGAAUUAGAAAAAAAGGAGUUGAUGGGCGAUCUUCAAUUUCUAAAUUUACUGUGUUUGCUCGGCAGAAAUUAGAAAUUAAGUUGGGAGAAUUCUAAUUUUGUUUUUGGAAUGAAAUCGUGAUCAUCAUAUUGCAGUUGAAUAUGCUUGACUUCUUUAUCCUUUCAUUUUCGCUCUAUUUUGAUUGUUGAGAAAUGCUAAAUUUAUUUGUCUGGGCUUUUUUUAAUGUCAAAGAUUUUAAUUAUAAAUCAGAAAUUGUUAAUCCAAAGAAAAGAUAGUAGAGACUGAUUCCUUUCAGAUGUCUUGAAUCUGCUUUUGCGACAGAUUUUAGAACCGUCAAUUGCUUUUGAUACAAGGCAUUCGUUAAUUAUGCAACACAUAAAAAUCACUAAAUUUGUGGAAAAACAUAAAGAUCAAAACAAUUAGCAGUGUCAAAAAAAGCAAACUAGAAGUAAGCAGGCGCCACACGAGUGUCUUUAGAAAUAUGAUUAUGAUCGUUUUUUAAAAUAUGUUUUAAUGUAUAAAAAAACAUCUCGCGGGAUUGAGGACAAAUCUUUUCUACAGUUCGGUCUUAGCACCAGAAAUCAAAGAGUAGAUGCCUGUUCUCGAGGUAGAAAAUGCCCCAUUUAUGCUUAAUUCGAUAUUGUUUUGUUCUGCCUUGUGUCCCUUCUUUGUCCUCUUGCCAGAGAAGAGCUUGACUGUCACAUCUCUCUAUAGUUUCAAUGACCAAAAGAAUCAGAAAAAUCAUCACUGUGCAAUUAAUGACAAGCAUGAAGCUAACCUCCCUUCAAUCAUAUUUCAUCUUCCCCUUGCAUAAGGCUCCGUCUAGCAAGUAUCAUGCUGUAUAUAUAGACAGCUCCACAAGGUAGUGGGACGUAAUAUAUUUGUCAAGAGGAGUAUGAAUCACUGAAGCAUCAAAGAAUUCGUGGAUAUCCUUCUUACUUGCUUUGCCUCCUGAGAAAUUCUACCUUGAAUGGCUGCAAUUGGAAAUCUGAAUGGGAGCAUUGAAACCUUUUUCCAUGUAAAGUAGAACUUGAUGAAAAUGUCAAUUUCAAAGACGCUUUUCAAUUGCUUCGUAAUCUGCUAAUUUUAAUGCAUUUUGCUGUAGAAUGCGGAAAACUUCAAGGAUGAAAAUAAGUGGAAAAACCAGGUAACUUUUUCUACGAAAUAAAUGGAAGUAAAAACUAUACUCUUCGUGGAAAACAGAUGCCCACAAUUUCCAAACCCAAGCUUAGUGGCUUAAUUAGACUUUAUUAUCAUUUCAUAUUUCCAAAUUUAGUCAGUACCAUAAUUUUAUUUUACCAGUAUCGUUCAUCGCAGUUAGUCAAAUACUAUAAAACUUAAAUAACUAAUAGCUGUUCGUGGGGAAUCGAACAACGGCUUGCAUGGAUGAACUAAAAUGUCUAUCAUGGGAAAUCCAGAACUUUCUUGCAUGGAUUCGACCUUCUUAUAAACUAUUUGUCAUCCCCGUGCAGUGAAAGCCUCCUGAUAGAAUCAUUUGAAGUUUUUAUUAUUAUGGAGUAAAAAGUUAUAAAUUUGAUUGUAUAAGUUUAAGUAAAGCUGAACAAAGUUUAUAUAAAAUUUUUAAAUUUUAAAUCAAUGUUUUUAAAUGUUAAAUUGAAAAAAAAAAAGAGUAAAAUUGCAAUGAUGUUGAAAUGAAAUAUGAUAGUGAAUGAUUUGAAAUAAAGCUUAAUUGAAAAGGAAAAUUGAGUGAUAAUUCUUGAAAGUCAAGAAAUGGCCAUCCUAAACAAAUGAUAGCUGCACGCCACGCGCUUAGCUUCUGCCAUGUUGAGCACCGUCCAUAAAAAAGGUUAAUGGCCACCGUUGGAUGUAGCCAUAAGAAACAAACACUUUAGGACAAGAAAAAAAAGGUCCCUCCUUUAUGACAUCUCCUUCCUUACUAUUGGUAAGCAUAUUAUAAUGGCGGGGUCAUGCAGAAUCCACUUUACAUGUUAAUUUCCUUUUUCUCAAAAUUACUGUAAAAAAACAUCUAUUUUGGUACGUACACAGGAAAACCUUGCAAACCCAUGAAAAGUAAAUAGAAUAUGUAUGUUAUAAUUUUGUUUCACAAUAUGUUUUUUUUUUAAAAAAGAAAAAUAGUCAGGCUAAGAUAUAUUUUCCUUAGUAUGCGACGCCAAUAAAUUUUGGUGCAGGGUCAACAAAAUUGGUGUUGGGUGAGCAAAAAAAUUAACCUGUAACCUAUUUUUCUUAGUUAGAUUAUGAACUUAUUUUUUUUAGUGAGCAACAUCAUUUUUUCAUAGAUCAACAUCGAGUUCUGUUAAAAAAACUAAGAAAAAAUACAUGUAAAAACCACGUGAUUUGCUUGCUUAAAGAGUAAAAAAUAAUUAAAUUGUUUUUAUAAUAAAUUAGAUUGUUUUGAAAAAAUAAAUGAAUGAAAUUAAAUAAUGCAAUGACAAAAAAUUAAAGGACGAAAAUAAACCCAACAAAUUCCACGUCUCAUUAGCAUCGACUUGACAAGAAGUUCUUAUCACUUUAACCAAUUAGCCUAUUUACAUAACAACAGUGUUGUGACCGAAACCAUAAUUUAAAAACAUGUUCCUGCACCAUACUUAGCAUUGAAACCUUCCAGGUGCUUAUCCUCUUGCACUGAAGCCUCCUGAUAGAGUCUUUUCCUCUCUAUUUAUUGAAACCUUAAUUUGCUUUCAAGUCGUCAACAAAAACAAAACCAGCUUGUUAGUGAUCAUUAAAGUAGCUAACAAUGGCAGCCUCCAAAAUGAGCUUGAAGCUUCUUAUUGAUUCAAAACACAACAGAGUCGUCUUUGCUGAAGCAGGGAAAGACUUUGUCGAUUUCCUCCUUAGCCUGCUUGCUUUGCCUCUGGGUACCGUCAUUCGGCUCCUCACAAAAUCAACAACGAUUGGCUGCAUAUCAAGUCUUUAUGGGAGCCUUGAAAAGCUGGAUGAAUCGUACCUGCAGCCUAACCUAAACAAGGAUUCCAUUUUGAAACCAACUAUAGCAACCCAGGUCACCAAUCGAAAUUUCUUGCUUCCUGACACUAAAAAGCCUGAAAACCGGAAGUUAUACUAUUGCCCAAGCCAUCCAGGGUACGUGUCAGAUAUUAAGAACUCUGUUUGUAGUAAUUGCAGGUCACAAGGCUUUGGCUUUGGUGCUCGUUCUAGUUAUAGUUCUAGUUCUACUGCUUCUUCUAGUUUUAGUUUUAGUCCUAGUUCUAGUUCUAGUGCUUGUUCUAGUUAUAUGAGUCAAGAAGUCAAGUUUGUUGGUACGAAUGUCUCCGCCUCCACAGAUACACCAGCUAGUGAUCAGGCCGGAGGUUACGUGAAGGGCCUGGUCAUGUACAUGGUGACAGAUGAUUUGUCAGUGUCUCCAUUGUCAAUGGUGUCCGUUGCUGGUCUGCUAAACAAGAUCGAAAUCAAGGAUUUUAGUCUGCUUCAGGAGAAGGUUGUUGAAUUUGGGAUCAAGGAGGUACUGCUUAUUUUGAACUCUGUCUUGUAUUGUUCAUUGUAGUUUUUUUUGUUGUCUAACGAUAGUUUAUAAUACGUCCAUGUGGCUUUCUCUGUGCCCGUUGUUCUUUUAUAAAUUUCAGGGUCUUGAAUUGUUGAAAGCUUCUCUUUUGUCGAAGGGUGCUCUCACUGCUGCUUUCCUUCCAAAGCUGAAUUAAGGACAGAGAUGGCGAGCCAGUAUAAUCAAAUUAGAAAAAAAGGAGUUGAUGCGCGUUCUUCAAUUUCUAAAUUUACUAUGUCUGUGAGGAAGUAAUUAGAAAAUAAGUUGGAGAACUUUAAUUUUGUUCUUGGACUGCAAUGAUGAUCAUUCGUCUUCCUUUUGAAUAUGCCUGACCUUUUCUUUGUUGCUUUAUUAUGCUUUUCUUCUUUCAUUUGUCUUUCACUGUUGCUUCAUUUUGAAUUUUGUGAAAUGAGAAUAAGAUGGAAUGAAUAGUUUCCCGUCCUCAUCUACAUUUCUUUGUAUUAUACCAAGUCAAAAUUUUUAUAUUAUAAAUCAGAAAUGGUUAUCUUGACUUGUUUGCUUUGCCUCAAGCACAAAUUCCAACUUUCUUCUCCUUUCCUCUUCAAAUUUCUUGUUUCUCUUUCUCCGAGAAUUUGAUCUCUUGUUUUCCCCUAACGCCGAUAAAGUGUGUGUUUCGGAGUGUGGUAGCGGUUGCUUUUAAAAUAGCUUUUUGUGCCGAAAUACAUGUCAAUGAUGUUUUUUCAUUUUUAAAAAAUUAUUUUUGACAUCAGCACAUCAAAAGGAUCCAAAAAAUACAAACCGCACUUAAUUUUAACAAAAAAAAAAUUCAAAAUUUUGACAAACACAGUUCAAACUCACCGCCAAAUCGUCUCUUUAAGUUUAUGUGUUUUUUCUUCCUUCACCUAAGUUUUUUUCGCAACCAUACCAAAUUCUGGCACAAACACUGUAGCUUUCUUUGAGCUUGCCAAGCAUCAAGUUUCACAAGGCCCUUUCAUAUUCCACUUGAUUGUGAAUAAAUUUGCCAUCUUCUUGAGCUCAAUUAGCUAUGAUCAUGCAGGUCUAUAAUUGCAAAAAUAAAAGCAUCCUUUUCUUUUCUCAUAAACUUAUGUUAGGACCGUCGAUUUUUGCCCGAGUUACCUAUGUCCACAAAAAGAAUAACAAAGCUUGAGAUGUUUUUUGGAGCUGCGUUUUUUCAAAUGGUAUUUUAUAUAUAUAAAAAAUGUUUUAAAUUUUUUAUAUAUAAUUUUUGGUUGUUUUUAUUUAUUGAUAUAAAAAAUAAUUUAUAUAAAAUAAAAAAUAUAUAUUAUGUGCUGCAUAAAAUAUAUAUUUCUAGAGUCAUGACGAUAACAAACAAGAUGAGAGCUCAUGGAAAAGAGAUGGGAAAUGUGAAAAUUAUAGAGAAAAUUCUUCGCACCCUCACAGAAAAAUUCAACUAUAUUGUCUGCUGCAUAGAAGAGUCAAAAGACAUUGACAAACUUUACGUGGAUGAACUUCAAAGCUCAUUAAUUGUGCAUGAGCAGAAGUUUCAGAAAAAUCAUGGUGAAGAACAAGUCUUGAAAGUUACCUUGGAAGAAGGAAAAGGCAGAGGACGAGGCAGGAUUACUUAUAAGGGUAGUGGAAGAGGAAGGGGCAGCAGUAGCAACAAUUUCAACAAAGCCACAGUUGAAUGCUAUCGAUGCCAUAGACUAGUCAUUUCCAGUAUGAGUGCCCUUCUUGGAACAAAGAAGUUAACUAUGCCAAGGAUAUUGACGAGGAAGAGGAGAUGUUAUUAAUGUUCUAUGUAGAAAAAGACAAAGCUAAAGGAAGAGAUACAUGGUUCCUUGAUUCAGGAUGCUCAAACCACAUGUGUGGAGAUAGAACCAUGUUCAGUUGGCUUGAUGAAAGUUUUCGGCAACUGGUAAGGUUAGGAAACAACACCAGAAUGAAUGUGAUGCGUAAAGGAAGUGUAAAGCUGUAUUUGAAUGGAAUAAACCUUACUGUGACUAAAGUAUAUUAUGUUCCUGAACUUAUUUUUUUUUGUUUAGAUGGUAAGAUAUGAUUUGUUCAUACUUAUUAUGCUUGUUGAAAUUAAUUUUGAUUGAGCUUCCUGGGGUGCCGGCUGUUAAAACUAGCCAUCCUUCUUUUACACCGACUGCUGGCACUCGGAUCGGGUGAGCAGACGCAUCUCAUCCAGGCAUAUGGAAUAGAGGUUAUGCAGGGUAAGUUGCUUGGAGGAGUAGCAAUCAUGGCCUUGAUCAACCACAUACUGCUUUUGCAUUUGCUUUGAUAAAUUAGUGGUGUUGACCUGGUGCCGUUUCGAUUAGGAAAUGCUGUUCUGAUGAAAACUCUGUGGAUAAGAUAAGCAACCAAAUAAUUAAGCCAUUGUCUUUGUAGUUAUCUGAUCAUUUGUCAACAAAACUUGUGAUAUUAAUCUUGUGCAAGCUGAUAAAGACCCAUGAUUAAGGUUCUGUUUGUUUUCCUGAUGGAUUGAUAGGGACUUUCAUCUCAUUUGUUCAUUUAGCCGUCUUCUUUGCCAUUACCCUUGGAGCUCGCAGAAAAUCACCCGAACCAGUUCUCGUUAAUAUCAUCAGGAAAAAACAGAGAAAAAACAGAGAAAUGAGAAGAAAUACGAGCUUAACUCAGACAGGCCAUAGUUUUUGCUGCGAAGGUCCAUGUUUUGGACAUGUGAUGUGGCCUUUUUGAUAGAUAAAAUGGACAAAAAUCCAAAAAUUGAAGGAUGUUUCAGUCCGCAAAGUUGAAUAAGAUGAAACUCGACUCUGAGUUUUUCAAUUAUGAGAAGGCACAAAGUAUAUUUACAGAAAGUACGAGGCACCCUCAAGCAUCGUCAACUUACAAAAAAUUAAAAAUUAAAAGAGCUCAGCUAUUUACCGUGUAUUGUUACAGAAACUAAGAGGCACUGUCAAGCAUCGUCAAAUGUUUACAUUUUUAUUUAUUUUAUAAAAAAUUAACCCAGCACACAGCAUAACGCGGUCACUUCUCUGGAACGAUACUAUUAUCAAUUGGAAUGUGUCUCUGUAGCAAUAAACAAGAGAUAAAUGAUGGAUACCUAGUGCCGAUUCCCGCCUCUUGUAGUGGUAUGGUAUCAUGAUUAUCAUUAUGAGUAUGAUUGGUAGGGUUUAGUAAUUAUUUUUAAAUAGUUUUUUGUAUUGAAAUAUAUGUUAAUAAUAUUUUUUUAUUUUUUAAAAAUUAUUUUUGAUAUUAGCACAUCAAAAUGAUCCAAAAAAUACAAAUUAUAUUAAAUUUUAAUUAAAAAAUUAAAAUUUUAAAAAUACGAUUUGUACCACGUUUCCAAACAAUUUCUGUAUUUUUGCAGAUUCAUACGGACAUGUUUUUUUUUUUUUUUUAUAUAUAUACUGAAGAGGCAGAUGCAUACCUACCCACAUGGAAUUUCAUGCUAUGGUUCACGUCUAUUCAUAUUUUGGAGUGGUUGUAUAGUUGCAGGUCGAGCAGGUAAAGGGUUUUAAGAAUGAGAAAAUAAUUUUCGAUGGAUAUAAGAAACAGUUAGCAAGUUUCGUUGGAUAGAAGAAUUAGAAAAAAAAAUUAAAAAUAGAUGUGUUUUAAGAAUGAGAAAAUAACUUUGGAAUUAAAAUGAAAAUGAGAAAUAAAAGUUGAGAAAGAACUUGUGAAAAAUUGUUAGCAAAAACAUCAGUUAAAAAUAAAAAAACAUUACCAUGAAACUGUAAUAAAUCUGUAAAUAAAAUAAAUGAUGAAAAAAUAUAUAUUUUUUUUGACAUAAAAAAAUAUUUUUGAGGACUUGCUAAAAUAACUUAUAUGGUUUUAGCGAUGCUUGAAUAAGAAAAUUUGGAUUUUAAUAUAAAAUCAUUUACUGACUAGUUUAUGUUAUUGAACAUAACUUUAAAUUUAACCUUUGAAUUAGUUUGAAAUUUUACAAAGAACCUCAUAACACAUUGCUUUAUAAUCGAAGUUUUGAAAAGCCAUUUAAGAAUAUUAAUAGUCGUGCAAAAAAUAACAUUUAGGUCAUUAAGUUUUUGUAAAUAAACUGGAAAAAUUAACUUUGACAGAUUAAUAUUUAAUUUUUUGUUAUAGGGUAAAAAAUUAUAAAUUUAAUUAUACAAGUUUAAGUAAAGAUUAACAAAGUUUAUAUAAAUUUUUAAAUUUUAAAUCAAUGUUUUUAAAUAUUAAAUUAAAAAAAGAGAGUAAAAUUAUGAUGAUUUUGAGAUGAAAUAUGAUGUAAAUGAUUUGAAAUAAAGCAUAAUUGAAAAGGAAAAUUGAGUGAUAAUUCUUAAAAGUUAAAGAGCAAGAAAUGGCCAUCCUAAACAAAUGAUAGCUGCUCGCCACGCACUUGGCUUCUGCCAUGUUCAGCACCGUCCAUGAAAAAGGUUAAUGGCCACCGUUGGAUGUAACCAUAAGAAACAAACACUUUAGGACUAGAAAAAAAAAGAUCCCUCCUUUAUGACAUCUCCUUCCUUACUAUUGGUAAGCAUAUUAUAAAUGGUUAGGUCAUGCACAAUGCUACUUACUUUACAAGUUAAUUUCCUUUUUCUCAAAAUUACUGUAAAAAAUAUCUAUUUUGGUACGUACACAGGAAAACCUUGCAAACCCAUGAAAAGUAAAUGGAAUAUGAAUGUUAAAAAAAAAAUUAGUCAGGCUAAGAUAUAUUUUCUUGCUUAAAGAGAUAAAAAAUAAUUAAAUUGUUUUUAUAAUAAAUUAGAUUGUUUUGAAAAAAUAAAUGAAUGAAAUUAAAUAAUGCAAUAACAAAAAAUUAAAGGGCGAAAAUAAACCAAUUAGUCUAUUUACAUAACAACAGUGUUGUGUCCGAAACCAUAAUUUAAAAACAUGUUCCUGCACCAUACUUAGCAUUGAAGUCUUCUUUUGGUGCAUGCUUAGCCUUGAAGUCUUCCAGGCGCUUCCAUUAAAUCCUCAUGCACUGAAGCCUCCUGAUAGAGUCUUUUCCUCUCUAUAUAUUGAAACCUUUGCUUUCAAGUCGCCAACAAAAACAAAACCAACUUGUUAGUGAUCAUCAAAGUAGCUAACAAUGUCAUCCUCCAAAAUGAGCUUGAAGCUUCUUAUUGAUUCAAAACACAACAGAGUCGCCUUUGCUGAAGCAGGGAAAGACUUUGUAGAUUUCCUCCUUAGCCUGCUUGCUUUGCCUGUGGGUACCGUCAUUCGGCUCCUCACAAAAUCAACCAUGAUUGGCUGCAUAGCAAAUCUUUACGAGAGCCUUGAAAAGCUGGAUGAAUCGUACAUGCAGCCUAACCAAAACAAGGAUUCCAUUUUGAAACCAACUGUAACAACCCAGGUCACCAAUCCAAGUUUCUUGCUUCCUGACACUAAAAAGCCUGAAAACCGG